Molecule: non-coding RNA, 28 nt
Filed under: Mus musculus (house mouse)
Lineage: Eukaryota; Metazoa; Chordata; Mammalia; Rodentia; Muridae
Source: RNAcentral
UCUAAGCAAAGUGGCCACAUCUCACUGU